RNAcentral lists this ribosomal RNA (1534 nucleotides) under human metagenome. RNAcentral describes it as "bacterial LSU rRNA". It matches the Rfam family "Bacterial large subunit ribosomal RNA", at positions 495 to 2050 of the family's 2925-position model. The record is from RNAcentral.
AUAGUACUGUGAAGGAAAGGUGAAAAGGACCCCGGGAGGGGAGUGAAAGAGAACCUGAAACCUUGUGCUUACAAACAGUCAAAGGCCUACGGGCUGAUGGCGUACUUUUUGUAGAACGGUCCGGCGAGUUACUAAUGCCAGCGAGGUUAAGAUGUCAGAAGCAUCGGAGCCGAAGGGAAACCAAGUCUGAAUAGGGCGUAGAGUUGGUAUUAGUAGACCCGAAACCGGGUGACCUAUCCAUGUCCAGGUUGAAGGAACCGUAAAAGGUUUUGGAGGACCGAACACACAUGUGUUGAAAAACGUGGUGAUGAGGUGUGGAUAGCGGAGAAAUUCCAAUCGAACUCGGAGAUAGCUGGUUCUCCUCGAAAUAGCUUUAGGGCUAGCCUCGAGCUGGAGUCUAACGGAGGUAAAGCACUGAACUGACGCGGGGCCCAAAAAGGUUACCAACUCAUAUCAAACUAAGAAUGCCGUCAAGAUACCCUCGGGAGUCAGUCUGCGUGAGAUAAGUCGCGUGGACAAAAGGGAAAGAGCCCAGACCGACAGCUAAGGUCCCAAAGUACGUGUUAAGUGGAAAAGGAUGUGGGAUUUCAUAGACAACUAGGAUGUUGGCUUAGAAGCAGCCAUACAUUUAAAGAGUGCGUAAUAGCUCACUAGUCGAGAAAACCUGCGCCGAAAAUGUAACGGGGCUAAAACACGACACCGAAGCUACGGAUUUCCUACAAGGUAGGAAGUGGUAGAGGAGCAUCCUGCAAGGACGAAGCCAAAGUGAGAGCGAUGGUGGACGAAACAGGAGAGAGAAUGCCGGAAUGAGUAGCGAGAUACAUGUGAGAAACAUGUAGGCCGAAUAUCUAAGGAUUCCUGGGUAAAGCUAAUCUUCCCAGGGUUAGUCGGGGCCUAAGGCGAGGACGAAAGUCGUAGUCGAUGGAUAACAGGUUGAUAUUCCUGUACUACACAUAAUCAGAACUGUGGGGACGCAGGAGGAUAGGGAAACCGGGGAAUGGAAAGACCCGGUCAAGCGUAAAGCUGUGGGAGAUAGGCAAAUCCGUCUCUUGUAAGUGAAACGUGAUGAGGACUGAAAAAAAGUAAGGAAGUUUCCGAAUCCACACUGCCGAGAAAAGCCGCUAUUGCGUUAUGUGUACCCGUACCGUAAACCGACACAGGUAGAUGAGGAGAAAAUCCACAGGCCGACGGGAGAAGUGUUGUUAAGGAACUCGGCAAAAUGACCCCGUAACUUCGGGAUAAGGGGAGCCUCGCAAGAGGCCGCAGAAAAGAGGCACAAGCAACUGUUUAGCAAAAACAUAGGUCUAUGCGAAACCGUAAGGUGAAGUAUAUGGGCUGACGCCUGCCCGGUGCUGGAAGGUUAAGAGGAGAGGUUAGCGCAAGCGAAGCUUUGAAUUUAAGCCCCAGUAAACGGCGGCCGUAACUAUAACGGUCCUAAGGUAGCGAAAUUCCUUGUCAGGUAAGUUCUGACCCGCACGAAAGGCGUAAUGAUUUGGGCACUGUCUCAACAGCCCGCCCGGCGAAAUUGUAGUAC